UGCCAAGAAGUUGCCUAUCUAGUGUCUUUUUAAUACUACCUACUAUAUAAAAAGCAUUUACGAACUUGUAAUGUAGAUAUGCCUUUUGAUAGUGUCCUUUGAUUGAGAGAUAUUCUUUCAACUUUUUUUUCUCUUUUCUUCUACUUCUCUGUUCAUCCUGUAGGAUUCUUCCAAUUAACUCUACUUUUUGAACUUGCAAAAGGGACAAUGAGAGGCCACAAAGUCGAUACUUAAAUAGAGAACAAAAAGAAAUUCCAAUUACCUUUAACCGCCUCGAUUGAAGAGUUAAAGUGUGUCGCUCUCUACUAAAUCCACGGGAUACCUUCCACGUUCAACCAACAACAUGUGACAAUAUAUGUAAGGUAAUUUUGUCCAUCAAGAUAGGACAGAUAGAAAGAAUCACCAAGAGUUCUUUUGUCGCUACUGGGAUUUGAACCUAAGACCUAGAUACUCAACCCACUUCAUUGACCACUAGGGCACACCCUUGGGUGCGACAAUAAAGGUUAUUGAUUGGGGAAUUAAUACCGUUCUUGAGUUUGACCACUAGGACACACCCUCGGGUGCGACAUUUAAGGUUAUUGAUUGGGGAAUUAAUACUAUUCUUGAGUUAGGCAGAGGCUGUUGAGUCGUAAAUAUUUUUGGGCCAAAUCAUGCCGCUUCAAAAUUAUUGCAGAGGCUGUUGAGUCGUAAAUAUUUUUGGGCCAAAUCAUGCCGCUUCAAAAUUAUUUAGUACUAUAAAAAUAUUGCACUGCAGAAGUUCUUUAUGUUCCCAGCUAACCAUUUUUAUAUUGUUGCCAAGAAGUUGCCUAUCUAGUGUCUUUUUAAUACUACCUACUAUAUAAAAAGCAUUUACGAACUUGUAAUGUAGAUAUGCCUUUUGAUAGUGUCCUUUGAUUGAGAGAUAUUCUUUCAACUUUUUUUUCUCUUUUCUUCUACUUCUCUGUUCAUCCUGUAGGAUUCUUCCAAUUAACUCUACUUUUUGAACUUGCAAAAGGGACAAUGAGAGGCCACAAAGUCGAUACUUAAAUAGAGAACAAAAAGAAAUUCCAAUUACCUUUAACCGCCUC
Molecule: long non-coding RNA, 1067 nt
Filed under: Capsicum annuum
Lineage: Eukaryota; Viridiplantae; Streptophyta; Magnoliopsida; Solanales; Solanaceae
Description: long non-coding RNA (CANN_LNC012125)
Source: RNAcentral